Molecule: long non-coding RNA, 1308 nt
Filed under: Androctonus crassicauda
Lineage: Eukaryota; Metazoa; Arthropoda; Arachnida; Scorpiones; Buthidae
Source: RNAcentral
CCUCUCUUUCUCUCCCCUCGCCGUCUUAAUUGCAUUGUCAUUUUUUUUUUAAUAUAAGCAAAAAAAAAAAGUGCUCGUAGUCGUUAAGAAAGGAAAUUCCUGUCUUCAUUAAUGUAAAGAACUCUCAAUUAAUGAUGAUUAAGUCGGAGAUAAUCGGGAAACGUGGCUUUUAAAUCAAAUAUUCGUUCACGCACAGUGUGCAGCGCGGUAGCAGGAACUCGACUAUGCCCUUCAUGCUACGUUUCAGCAUUGAAAGAGUUUAUAGAGAGUUUGGUGUCAAUGCUCCUAAUUGAAUAACGCAGAAAGCACUUUACAGGGUAACAGUUUAAACAGAACGGUUGUACGUAUUUUUAUUAUUAUUUUUCCUCCCCUUUUAAUGCACACUUUGUAUUUUUUCUUUCCACGAAAACUCCGAUAGUCAAAAUGACUCAUUCGAUUGUGUCUCGAUUAGUAUUGUCGAUUGUCAAUGAUCCGUAAUAAUGCUGAUCAAUUAUUGACUAUUAUUGGUGUGGCGUGAUGUUUAAUGUCACACCUGCACACAAACCAGCGUCGACAUGACUGGGUUAAAUCAAUGGAAACGAGAUACCAGUAAUGGGUUGCCAUUUUGCAAGUAGCCGAGAUAACGAUCGGUUUGGUCAUUGUCUGCUUUCUGGCCAUAGAUUUAUUGCAAAAUCGGAUGCUGACGUUGCGAUAAAUCCUCGUACUUCUCCAACUAAUUUGCCUCCUUUGCUAAAUACACGCGAACGACCUGGAAAAAAUAAAAAUAAUAAUAAAUGCGUAGGCGAGAGUCGGAUCGAUGUGGCCAUUCAAUGUGACCUCUUCAAGUAAUAUCGAUGCAUUCCACUUUCGAUCCGAAACCAACAGGGCGGCGUAGAACAAUAAAAACCACGAAAAUCUUAGAAAAACCUGACCGAAAGUACGGUUCUAAAUAAUAAACAGAAAGGAUUUAGUCAAAUGCGAAUCGAUCAGAGUGGCGAAAAAUCGCCAUUUUUAAUACCCUCGCUACAAUAUUUAAGAAUAAUUCCGAUAAGAUAGCUGGCGUAUGUAGUUUAUUUUCGCUUCAAUUCUCUGUCUCUCUCUUAUCUUCCUGCUUUUAUUUGAGUUUCAGAUUAUAAGAACCUUAUAGCCAUUCUACAAACAGCGAGCCCCCAAUAAAGAGAAUGCGUGUUAUUCUAUUUGAUGCAAUAAAUGUAAGUGGAUCUCAUAAAUCGCCACUAAAUCAAGUAGGAAUGGGAUGUAUUUAUUUUUCCUUUUUUUCUCUCUCUCUCUCUCGUUACGGUUAAAAUAAUUCGUUUUGCAGACAUUGCA